GUCGAGAAUCUUUCACAAUGGGGGCAACCCUGAUGGAGCGACGCCGCGUGGAGGAUAAGGUCUUCGGAUUGUAAACUCCUGUCAUGCGUGAACAAGGUUGCUUGGUUAAUACCUGGGCAAAUUGAUGGUAACGCAAGAGGAAGAGACGGCUAACUCUGUGCCAGCAGCCGCGGUAAUACAGAGGUCUCAAGCGUUGUUCGGAAUCACUGGGCGUAAAGGGUGCGUAGGUGGCGUGGUAAGUCAGAUGUGAAAGCCCGGGGCUCAACCUCGGAACUGCAUCCGAUACUGCCAUGCUAGAGUACUGGAGAGGUGACUAGAAUUCUCGGUGUAGCAGUGAAAUGCGUAGAUAUCGAGAGGAAUACUAAAGGCGUAGGCAGGUCACUGGACAGUUACUGACACUGAGGCACGAAGGCCAGGGGAGCGAACGGGAUUAGAAACCCUGGUAGUCC
RNAcentral lists this ribosomal RNA (449 nucleotides) under uncultured bacterium. RNAcentral describes it as "partial 16S ribosomal RNA". It matches the Rfam family "Bacterial small subunit ribosomal RNA", at positions 354 to 796 of the family's 1533-position model. The record is from RNAcentral.